UAAGCGACUUCGAGUUGUCGAGCGAGUCACCUCGCUCGGCUUCGUCCUUCUCGUCGGAAAUCAAUAUGACUUACCUAGUCUAAAAAUGACCUACGUAAAACGACGCUUUUUCAGCGUCGCUACGAUACGCGCACUCACCGUUUCGCGUUGAAGGAAUAACCCGCGACGUCCGGUCGUCCAACGAUGAAUCCCCGCAGAGUCUCCUCAGCAACCAACACUGCAGCCUCAGUUUGAGAGCCGUUCUCUCGCGUCGCGACCGCACUUCACUCACUUCACUCACUGCACUGCACUCGCCAUGGCGGUGAUUUUAGCGGCGUUUAAGUGAUCUUUAACGAAAACUGCUGAGAUCGCCAGGGAAAAUGCUUUGAACGGAGGACGACGGGGCGAGUUUGUGAACGUACUUCGAGACCGACCUUGCUCGACCCGAGUCUUACGACAUCGUCCGUCGUCCAUCGAAAAUUGCACCCGCCGUGUCAACUCCAGCGGAUCUGAAACAGAAAAUGGAGAAUACACAUCGAUCUCGGCGAACGGUGCAAAAGUUCGAGCGUCAGUCUGCGCGGGACGUGCAGACGAAUUGUUGCGAUGUGAACAAAGUAUCGUAGCCGGGCUCCAUUAUCGUUGCUACAUUAUUAAUUGCCAGACAGCUGCAACAUCUCGCGCACAGCACGGUCAUGGACGCAUCGCAUCGCCUCGCUCGACGCGGCGCGAUUAAAUUACGUCGGAAAGUCGGAGAUGGAAAACCUCCGUCGCGAGCUCGCGAGGUCGUUGCGCUUUCGUGUACAAAUUCGUCAAGAGAACACGGAUCGAUGGAAAAUUUAACGAUUCGCCGGGCGAUGGUCGGGUCGAGCGGUCCGCUUAACUUCGAACGACAACGCCGCCGCUAAACGGAACGUCCGAGGAACAGCCGACCCAUUAAUGUAAUAUCAAUUAUUGUCCAUUAAUGCGGCGUGAAUUAUUGAUACAUUUAAUGUGUAAUAUCCAUUUCCAGAGGAGGCGCACUCUCGCGAAGAAAGCCGCGAGUCCUGCGGGCGCUUCAUCGCGCCGCAUUAUUCGCGCGCGCGCGCGAUCGGAAACGCGGCACUCUCUCUCCUCUCUCUCUCUCUCUCUCGGUCUCGGAAGACGUCGAUCUUGAAUAAUGUAGCGCGUCACCGUCAGUCUCGGUGUCAUCUCGGCGUGUUGCAUCCAGGCAUCACUUAUUCUCGCACACGUAAAUCCUCUCCCGCGUCCCUCGGAGCGUCAUUAAAAUCUCGUUCCGGGCGUACUGAGGCGCCUAGGCGAAUGCAACCACGCUCGCGCGUAGGUUGCGUCUGUUCGUUUUCGAACUUCUUAAUUAGUGCAAUAAGUUGCAGCAAGUAUACGUAACAGAGCUUGGCGAAAUUUGCACAUUUUGCCUGAUUUUCAGCUCGCUCCGCCUACCGCUAUUCCUCUUGUAUCUUCUUCCGCGGCUCACGAACCGCACGAAGCUCAAGUAACGUACGACGCAUGAAAAAAGAAAAAGAAACGUGUCAAUAGUAGGUAACGUAGAAAGCUAUUGAACACAAAUUCACACGUCGUAUGUUACCGAGCCGGAGGAAGACGUCGGAGAA
Molecule: long non-coding RNA, 1586 nt
Organism: Harpegnathos saltator (Jerdon's jumping ant)
Lineage: Eukaryota; Metazoa; Arthropoda; Insecta; Hymenoptera; Formicidae
Exons: 3
Source: RefSeq, a predicted model, not a curated record